AACAUUAUAAAGUAACACUUUUAAAAUAGGUAACGUUUAAAGGUAACACUAAAAGGUGUUACCUUAUUUUUAAGAAGAAAUUAAAUAUUUACAAUUAAAAAAAGUAAGCACUAUCCCAAAAGUCUCAAUUUUCCUUAUUUGCCGUCAAAGAAAAAAAAAUGAAUUUGGGUUUAACUUUGUGAAAUCUGUGAAACCGCCAAAGACCAAAAGAAAAAAAAAAGGAAAAAGUUAGAAAAAGUCGUAUUACAAAACUUCCUUUUCCCAAAUAGAGGUAACUAUUCAUCCUUAGGUUUAAUUUAUCAGAAAAUCGUCGUCUCGAUCCCAAGUUCUAUCGAAUGCGCACUUUCAAAUUCAGGUUUCAUCGAAUUCGCGAUUCCAAUUUUCUGGUCUUAAUCGUCGUCUCCAUCGUGGUGUUGAUCGGGAUUUAUCGAAUUCACGGGCUUCCAAUUGUAGGAAUGCGGCUUGUGGUUUGUUCACUGGAUUGACUCGUGUUAGGAGAUUCCAGCAGGUACCUUUUAACUAUUCUGCUACUUUAUGGUGUUAGGGUGAAGGAAUUGAGUUCCCACUAAGUUGGGUGUUUCACAACUGAAUGUUAUGUUAAAGGCUGUCAAGUUUGCAAGAUAUAGGUUAGUAUGCAUAUAUAAUAGAAAUGCGUUCUCAUUUCUUCGUGGUGGCUGGAAAAGGCAUCCUAACACUUGUGAAUGUUGCUUGUAUUAUAAUAUGCUUUAAUUUCUUAUCAAUUUGUUUCUCGUGCGUUAUUUUAGCACUUGUGUAGGAUCCUUUGUAUGAUUAUCAGCUCAUGAAUACAUGAGCUGCUUUGAGCUCCGGUUGACUUCUGUUAAUUUUCUGACUCAAAAGAACUAUGCUGCUAGUUUGUUUAUUUCAGUAUGUGAUUUAUGUCAGUCAUUGGUAGUCAAAAUGAUUGAAGAUACGUUGUUUCUUAUGUGAAUGGCUGACUGAUUUUGAUGUUGACGUAAAUAGCAGCUAGAGACCGGAGAUAAAAGACAUUUUGGUCGAAGGUUCUUUGGAAGAUUGGGUAGUUUCAAAUUGGGCUGACAUAUAGGUGUAAGAAACUAAGCAUGCUUAUGACAUUGUCUUCUUACCUAGUUUGAUGUUUACAUGUUCUAUAAUAAUAGAUCGAUGAUUCAUGAAGCAGAACACUGAAGGUUCGCUUUUACUUCUGAAUCUGCUGCUCCUAGCUGUCUGAAUGGUUAUCAAGAUGCGAAAAUAUCCUUUAGAGACAAAACCUUAAGGACAGAAAUGGGUAACCAAUGAAAGAAGUUUCAAGAUGUUAAGGCAUAUGAAUAAUCUGUAUAUUUUCUUGAGUUGUCUUUGUUAAUCUAACCUUAUUGUUUUUGUUGUUAUAUAUUCACAAAUUUGAUAUAACCAUAGACUACAGGUGACUAGACGGGACGAUUUGUUGCCUUCUUUUCAGGGUUUAUGCUCAACACUUACUGUAAGUUCCUGGACUAGAUAAACAAACAUGAAAUAAACUACCUUUGUGACAUUGAUGACAUUUGAUAAAUGUUGCUUAUUUUAGAUUUUGCUUGAUAUGUUGGUUUUUAAUUUGUACCCAAGUAUUGGUUGAAAUUCAUAAGAAGACCUAUUGUUUACAGGAGCUUCUCAAAUACCCAAGUGUUGGUUGAAAGUCAUAAGAAGAUCUAUUUGUUCAUUGUAGAGUUUUUUUACAAAAUACUUUUGAAGUUGCAGGGUCUAUUUUCUGGUUGUCGCUAAUGUCGUGUUUAUAUUUUAUACCAUAAUCUUCUUUGGUUUUCUCUACUUAUUUUUUUUGUUUUAUAGAAAUAUCUUUUAUUCGACAUGUUUUUUAAUUAAUUUUUUGUAGGAGUAAGGUCAAGGUGUCAGAGAAUAGAAGACUUAACGCAAAAAAGGAUAUAAGAUAAUUACUCUUAAGAAUUAUAUUUUUUUUGCUUUUCUUGAUUAUGGAUAUUAGAUCUUACUAAUUUUAUACUUUUUAUAGGAUCAAGAUGACGGAUCAGAUUUGAUAGGAAAUGAAGAUUGAGUUGACAUUGAGAAUCAUGCGCAUAUAAGGGAAAACAGAUGAAGAUGGAAACAUAGAAGACAUUGAGUUUUGGAUUUACAUUUUAUUUUUAUAUACAACCAGUUGGUUUUAUUUUGAACGAAUGUAAUUUUCAUAGACCGUACAUCAAAUACAUUAGAAUGUUAGAUUUACCAUCAAAAUGACAUUGGCAUAUUCGUGUAACUAACAAUUUCGGAUUCCAAUUAUUAUCACUAUUCUUCUUUUAUGGUUAAUAAAUUUUUUUCUUAUAAUAA
Long non-coding RNA from Spinacia oleracea (spinach), 2292 nucleotides. RefSeq lists it as uncharacterized. The record is from RefSeq and is a predicted model, not a curated record. Lineage: Eukaryota; Viridiplantae; Streptophyta; Magnoliopsida; Caryophyllales; Amaranthaceae. The transcript is spliced from 2 exons.